Long non-coding RNA from Hyla sarda, 394 nucleotides. RefSeq lists it as uncharacterized. NCBI's taxonomy places the organism in Eukaryota, Metazoa, Chordata, Amphibia, Anura, Hylidae. The record is from RefSeq and is a predicted model, not a curated record. The transcript has 3 exons.
CACAUAGUCUGUGCGAAACGGAGUUGGUCGCUAUCCAGUGUCCCCCCGCACUACCCUCUCUCCCCGCUAUAUGUUUAUAGUCCUUGCUAAGCCUCUCCCAACUACCUGUGUUCUACCUUGGUCUCUCUGCUGCUAGAGACAGGAUUCCCCUAACAGACAGUGGACAGCAGUUUACAGAGAACAAAUCUCUUUUCCUGGGGCAAAACCAUCCGCAGUGAGGAACAUUUUAAUUAGCUUGACCUUGCCUGACCAGAGAGAGAAGAGAGACGUUUUAUUCCCGAAAAGAAAAGAUUGGUGACUUUCUUAAAGCAGUUUCAUGCGUCACACAUCUUGAGCCUGUCCAGCUGCCAGUAUAAAUUAUGAUCUGUUCAAGUGCAUCCUUCUUGGCACAGAA